GACGAACGCUGGCGGCGUGCUUAACACAUGCAAGUCGAACGGAGCGAAUGAAAGCUUGCUUUUAUAAGCUUAGUGGCCAACGGGUGAGUAACACGUAGGCAACCUGCCGACAGGAUGGGGACAACAUUCCGAAAGGAAUGCUAAUACCGAAUGAAGCGCAGGAGAGGCAUCUCUCCUGCGUGAAAGAUGGCCUCUAUAUAUAAGCUAUCACCUGUCGAUGGGCCUGCGUCUGAUUAGCUGGUAGGUGAGGUAACGGCUCACCUAGGCGACGAUCAGUAGCCGGUCUGAGAGGAUGAACGGCCACAUUGGGACUGAGACACGGCCCAGACUCCUACGGGAGGCAGCAGUGGGGAAUCUUCCGCAAUGGGCGCAAGCCUGACGGAGCAACGCCGCGUGAGUGAAGAAGGUCUUCGGAUCGUAAAGCUCUGUUGAUGGGGACGAACGUGCCUAAUGCGAAUAGUAUUAGGU
Molecule: ribosomal RNA, 468 nt
Filed under: Centipeda noxia
Lineage: Bacteria; Bacillati; Bacillota; Negativicutes; Selenomonadales; Selenomonadaceae
Description: bacterial SSU rRNA
Rfam family: Bacterial small subunit ribosomal RNA
Source: RNAcentral